AAGUCGUAACAAGGUUUCCGUAGGUGAACCUGCGGAAGGAUCAUUACUCUUAGCUUAGGUUCUCGUAACUUAUUGCUAUACUCUAAACACCAAACUGUGCUCUUUCUUUCCCACCCCACUCUUUUACCAUAUUAUCCCAUUCUAUAACUGAAUACAUUGUGCGAAAGACAGUUUAUGACCGUCUGACACACAUCUGUACACCCCACCUCAAUACGAUAUUGAAUUAAAAUUUAUAUCUUAUGUGUUGUGAUGUACUUGUUGAACCACAGUAUGGUGCUCAGUUGAUGCAUACCUUAAUCC
This 300-nucleotide unclassified non-coding RNA is filed under the name Phylloporus sp. RNAcentral's name for it is "partial contains small subunit ribosomal RNA and internal transcribed spacer 1". The stretch from base 1 to 46 matches the Rfam family "Eukaryotic small subunit ribosomal RNA", at positions 1786 to 1831 of the family's 1831-position model. Lineage: Eukaryota; Fungi; Basidiomycota; Agaricomycetes; Boletales; Boletaceae. The record is from RNAcentral.